Molecule: ribosomal RNA, 491 nt
Filed under: uncultured bacterium
Lineage: Bacteria
Description: bacterial SSU rRNA
Rfam family: Bacterial small subunit ribosomal RNA
Source: RNAcentral
GACGAACGCUGGCGGCGUGCCUAAUACAUGCAAGUCGAACGCACUCUCGUUUAGAUUGAAGGAGUUUGCUCCUGAUUGAUAAACAUUUGAGUGAGUGGCGGACGGGUGAGUAACACGUGGGUAACCUGCCCUAAAGUGGGGGAUAACAUUUGGAAACAGAUGCUAAUACCGCAUAAAACCUAACACCGCAUGGUGUAGGGUUGAAAGAUGGUUUCGGCUAUCACUUUAGGAUGGACCCGCGGUGCAUUAGUUAGUUGGUGAGGUAAAGGCUCACCAAGACCGUGAUGCAUAGCCGACCUGAGAGGGUAAUCGGCCACACUGGGACUGAGACACGGCCCAGACUCCUACGGGAGGCAGCAGUAGGGAAUCUUCCACAAUGGACGAAAGUCUGAUGGAGCAACGCCGCGUGAGUGAAGAAGGUUUCGGAUCGUAAAACUCUGUUGUUGGUAGAAGGAAUGUAUCUGAUAGUAACUGACCAGGUAGUGACGGUA